CCAGUCCGAACUACUUCGACUCUGAUGUCUAUGCCUGAUAGACUAAGUAGGCCCAGGAUACGAUAUCCUGCCGAGUCAGUUUCAGUCAGUUUCUUUUGUCUCUUUCAGCCAGUGUGUGUGAGUAUUUGAGCAGUGUUUAGCAACCAUUUUCCUUCCUUCUGUGCGUGGAUCCCGUAGAGUACUACGGAUGCGUAGGGGGCCUAAUACCUUCCCUUCGCAUAACCGACUCCCGAACCCAUCCUCUUUGGUCGCGAGACCAUGUUCUUUCCUAGGUUUACUUCGAGCGUUUCCUUUCCCUCUUUUUGGGAUAAAUAACGCACGGUGGCGGCUCUGUUGUUUCUUUCUUUUCCCGCCGGUUUUUCGCGCGAUGCGAC
RNAcentral lists this long non-coding RNA (374 nucleotides) under Lathyrus oleraceus (garden pea). Its description in RNAcentral is "Pisum sativum (pea) long non-coding RNA (PSAT_LNC040090)". Lineage: Eukaryota; Viridiplantae; Streptophyta; Magnoliopsida; Fabales; Fabaceae. The record is from RNAcentral.